RNAcentral lists this ribosomal RNA (593 nucleotides) under uncultured bacterium. RNAcentral describes it as "bacterial SSU rRNA". It matches the Rfam family "Bacterial small subunit ribosomal RNA", at positions 8 to 612 of the family's 1533-position model. The record is from RNAcentral.
AGAGUUUGAUCAUGGCUCAGAGUGAACGCUGGCGGCGUGCCUAACACAUGCAAGUCGAACGAGAACGGAUAUAAGUUUACUUAUAUUGUCAGCUAAGUGGCGCACGGGUGAGUAAUAUAUAGUUAAUCUGCCCUGAAGAAGAGAAUAAUUGUUGGAAACGACUUGUAAUGCUCUAUAUGCCUUUAUCACAUAAGUGAGCAAGGGAAAUAUUUAUAGCUUCGGGAUGAGACUGUACGGUAUCAGCUAGUUGGUGAGGUAAUGGCUCACCAAGGCUAUGACAUCUAACUGGUUUGAGAGGAUGAUCAGUCACACUGGAACUGAGACACGGUCCAGACUCCUACGGGAGGCAGCAGUGGGGAAUAUUGCACAAUGGAGGAAACUCUGAUGCAGCAACGCCGCGUGGAGGAUGACACAUUUCGGUGCGUAAACUCCUUUUAUUAGGGAAGAUAAUGACGGUACCUAAUGAAUAAGCACCGGCUAACUCCGUGCCAGCAGCCGCGGUAAUACGGGGGGUGCAGGCGUUACUCGGAAUCACUGGGCGUAAAGAGCAUGUAGGCUGAUUAGUAAGUUGGAAGUGAAAUCCUAUGGCUCAA